Molecule: unclassified non-coding RNA, 2235 nt
Filed under: Leishmania donovani
Lineage: Eukaryota; Euglenozoa; Kinetoplastea; Trypanosomatida; Trypanosomatidae
Description: gene:unknown
Source: RNAcentral
ACGGACAUGUCCACACGGCAUACACGAAAGAGUGUCGCCCCUCCCUGCUUUGCAGUGCUUCUUUUAGUUUUUCUUGUUUUCGCCACCAUUUCCUGCCCGCUUUUCUGUGCAGAGGAAGAUGGACUCUCAUGCUCAAAGUCCCGUCAGGGCCUCGAAGCUGAGCAGUCCCGCCACCGAUAGAGGCCAUGAAUUCGUGUCUGCGUCACACCACCGACGGGACACGGGCAACUCUAGCGGUGCCCCGAAUGACUGCCUGUGCACUGACAACAGCCCCUGCCGCGUGAAGCCGACUGGGGACUUACAGACGAGCGUCACGAAUGACUCUUUUGGGUGUCCGCUGGGCAACAACGUCGUCUUUGGCUCCACCCGACCCUUCGAUAGCGGGCAGAGCUCCUCGACCGUGGAGCAUUUUCUUUCUACGGUGCCCGCCGUCGACUCCACUUUCACUCCCAGCUGCUUUCAACACGACAGCGGUGCCGUCGCCGAGCCAAUGCACGCGCGAGAGAGGCCCAACUUUGUGUCUAUUUCCAAGGAGGUUGCCUUGCCUGCAGACCCACCGCUGGACGCCUCGCCAUGGCCUACAAGUGCCGUCCAGGCCAUUGCCGUGCCAGCCCUGCAUCAGGCUGCCUUUUAUUCGACGAGCACCUCAUCCCGCAAGAUGGUGGUGCCGUCGCCGGUGGUAUCGACAGUGCACCGCGAUCCACAACCGGUAUUUGCAGCAACCGUGUCCUCACUGACAGGCUCUGUGCCCGUUGUUGCUUCGUUGACGUCGUCUGCGGCGUCGCCACUGCAGCGGUCGCCGUCUCGUCGCAUCUCGACAAAAUCGUUUGCAUUGACGUCCUCGGGCGUGGGGUCUGCUGCCGGCUCGCCGACACAGCCGGGGAGCUGCGCCCGGCCCACCUUGCCGCCUCUUAGCAGCGUGGGCCACCAUGCCUCUACCAACUCCAGCUACUGGCACACGAACGAGGUGUCGGUCGGAGGUGCUGGUGCAGACGCGGGCGCGAUUUACACCUCCAGCCCGCUGCAACGCAGUCCCGCGUCCCCCGGGCUUUCCCCUACGUCGCGCCGCGCACACAACUAUGGUAGCGGGAUGCAGUUUUCCUCGACCCUCGCACAGUUUCCCGGAGGUGUUGGUGCCGGCCUCCCUCGCAGCCGCUCUGACACGGAUCUCCGCCGCGCCUUGAAAGAGCGUGAAGACGCAAUCCUCAGCCCAACUAACGCGACCGCCGCGGGCCAAGUGCUCAGCGGAGGAUCACCGGGAAACGUCGAUCGCCCCCUGUCCUACAACUCCCCGUUGCUUGGCGUUGGUUCGCGCCAGCGCCGCGUGAUCCGGGACAUGGAGUCGUCCUUCAACGCCGGUGGACUGCACAGCUCCAGCCGUUACGCGGCCUCCGGCGGCAGCUGUGGCGCCAGCUCUAGCGGAACCGUUCCCGCGCAGCCGCGCUGGGUGAGCGCGGCAGAGCGGAUGAAGGAGUCGCGCGGUUUCGAGGACCCGUUGAUGCACGACCCAGUGCUUCCAUACGACCAGAGCAAGCUUGGGAUUCAGUCGCGCCGCCUCGCCGCGCAGGGCGUGCUGACGGCUGGCAAACUGCGCGCUCUGGAGGCGCAACAGGCUGAGAGCGGCGGUGGCAGCACGGACUACAGAAAUCCUCAUCAGCUGGUAGCAUACAGUACCGCUGGUGGCAGUGUACGGUCCGGCGCCCACCCGGCACGAUGCCAAGCCGCUCAGGGCGGGGUUCCCGUAUUUGUGGCGCAGGAGGAGGCACUUAUUGCGUCAACGCGGCACCACGGCCGCACCCUUACAGAACACUCAGGAUGGCGUCGCGGCGGCAACGUGCGGUGUGUUGCCGUUGGCGGUCAAAGCAUGAUUGGCGGGCGCCACGCCGUGACUGCCUUGCCGAACUCGCGCGCCGUUACAACUUUGGAGGCGGUGACAGGGGGCGGCGUUGGCAAAACCAGCCCCAGCAGCACCACAUGCAGUGCAUCCUUCCGCACCCGCGCUGCGAAUGGCUGCAUCUCGAGCUCGCUUGGCAGUGUAGACUCGAAGCCUGGUAUUGCAGAGUACAAGCUAGCCAAUCUCUUCCAACGUAAGUUGCAGCAGACCAACAACAUCCUUUAUGCGAUGGAGUCGUCAUGUGGUGGAGUGGCUGAGUCUUCCGCCUCGAACGGUGUCGCGGCGGGAGCGCCACGCGGCACAGGCGAGGAGAAGGGUGCAGCAGCGGGAGGAGGGGGCGG